ACGCUCGACACCUACGGGAAGCAGCAGUAGGGAAUCUUCCACAAUGGACGCAAGUCUGAUGGAGCAACGCCGCGUGAGUGAAGAAGGUCUUCGGAUCGUAAAACUCUGUUGUUAGAGAAGAACACGAGUGAGAGUAACUGUUCAUUCGAUGACGGUAUCUAACCAGCAAGUCACGGCUAACUACGUGCAAGCAGCCGCGGUAAUCUGAGCGGGCUGCAAGGC
This 222-nucleotide ribosomal RNA is filed under the name uncultured bacterium. RNAcentral's name for it is "partial 16S ribosomal RNA". It matches the Rfam family "Bacterial small subunit ribosomal RNA", at positions 326 to 535 of the family's 1533-position model. The record is from RNAcentral.